GAGUUUGAUCCUGGCUCAGAACGUACGCUGGCGGCACGCCUAACACAUGCAAGUCGAACGAAGUAGCAAUACUUAGUGGCAGACGGGUGAGUAACAUGUGGGUAUCUGCCCUUUGGCCUGGAAUAACACGAGGAAACUUGUGCUAAUACCGGAUAAGUCUUUACGGAGAAAGCUUUAUGCACCAUUGGAUGAGCCUGCACUUGAUUAGUUUGUUGGUGGGGUAAUGGCCUACCAAGACUGUGAUCAAUAGCUGAUUUGAGAGGAUGAUCAGCCACAUUGGGACUGAGACACGGCCCAAACUCCUACGGGAGGCAGCAGUGGGGAAUCUUGCACAAUGGAGGAAACUCUGAUGCAGCGAUGCCGCGUGAGUGAAGAAGGCCCUUGGGUUGUAAAGCUCUUUCGUCGGGGAAGAAAAUGACUGUACCCGAAUAAGAAGGUCCGGCUAACUUCGUGCCAGCAGCCGCGGUAAUACGAAGGGACCUAGCGUAGUUCGGAAUUACUGGGCUUAUAGAGUUCGUAGGUGGUUGAAAAAGUUAGUGGUGAAAUCCCAGAGCUUAACUCUGGAACUGCCAUUAAAACUUUUCAGCUAGAGUAUGAUAGAGGAAAGCAGAAUUUCUAGUGUAGAGGUGAGAUUCGUAGAUAUUAGAAAGAAUACCAAUUGCGAAGGCAGCUUUCUGGAUCAUUACUGACACUGAGGAACGAAAGCAUGGGUAGCGAAGAGGAUUAGAUACCCUCGUAGUCCAUGCCGUAAACGAUGUGUGUUAGACGUUGGAAAUUUAUUUUCAGUGUCGCAGGGAAACCGAUAAACACACCGCCUGGGGAGUACGACCGCAAGGUUAAAACUCAAAUGAAUUGACGGGGACCCGCACAAGUAGUGGAGCAUGUGGUUUAAUUCGAAGAUACGCGCAGAACCUUACCAACACUUGACAUGUUCGUCGCGACUCUAAGAGAUUAGAGUUUUCGGUUCGGCCGGACGAAACACAGGUGCUGCAUGGCUGUCGUCAGCUCGUGUCGUGAGAUGUUGGGUUAAGUCCCGCAACGAGCGCAACCCUCACUUUUAGUUGCCAUCAUUAAGUUGGGCACUCUGAAAGAACUGCCAGUGAUAAGCUGGAGGAAGGUGGGGAUGACGUCAAGUCCUCAUGGCCCUUACGUGUUGGGCUACACACGUGCUACAAUGGUAUCUACAACAGGAAGCAAGACUGCGAAGUUAAGCAAAUCCCUAAAAGAUACCUCAGUUCGGAUUGCACUCUGCAACUCGAGUGCAUGAAGCUGGAGUUACUAGUAAUCGUGGAUCAGCGUGCCACGGUGAAUGCGUUCCCGGGUCUUGUACACACCGCCCGUCACACCAUGGGAGUUGGUUCUACCUUAAGGCAAGGUUUCAAACCCUUGACCACGGUAUAGUCAGCGACUGGGGUGAAGUCGUAACAAGGUAACC
RNAcentral lists this ribosomal RNA (1435 nucleotides) under uncultured marine bacterium. RNAcentral describes it as "bacterial SSU rRNA". It matches the Rfam family "Bacterial small subunit ribosomal RNA". The record is from RNAcentral.